RNAcentral lists this ribosomal RNA (253 nucleotides) under uncultured bacterium. RNAcentral describes it as "partial 16S ribosomal RNA". It matches the Rfam family "Bacterial small subunit ribosomal RNA", at positions 524 to 776 of the family's 1533-position model. The record is from RNAcentral.
GACAGAGGGUGCAAACGUUGUUCGGAAUUACUGGGCGUAAAGCGCGUGUAGGCGGCCAUCUAAGUCGGGCGUGAAAUCCCACGGCUCAACCGUGGAAGUGCACUCGAAACUGGAUGGCUAGAGUCCUGGAGAGGAAGGUGGAAUGCUUGGUGUAGAGGUGAAAUUCGUAGAUAUCGAGCGGAACACCGGUGGCGAAGGCGGCCUUCUGGACAGUGACUGACGCUGAGACGCGAAAGCGUGGGGAGCAAACAGG